AGGCGCGCGAUACAGGGUGACAGCCCCGUACACAAAAAUGCACAUGCUGUGAGCUCGAUGAGUAGGGCGGGACACGUGGUAUCCUGUCUGAAUAUGGGGGGACCAUCCUCCAAGGCUAAAUACUCCUGACUGACCGAUAGUGAACCAGUACCGUGAGGGAAAGGCGAAAAGAACCCCGGCGAGGGGAGUGAAAAAGAACCUGAAACCGUGUACGUACAAGCAGUGGGAGCACGCUUAGGCGUGUGACUGCGUACCUUUUGUAUAAUGGGUCAGCGACUUAUAUUCUGUAGCAAGGUUAACCGAAUAGGGGAGCCGAAGGGAAACCGAGUCUUAACUGGGCGUUAAGUUGCAGGGUAUAGACCCGAAACCCGGUGAUCUAGCCAUGGGCAGGUUGAAGGUUGGGUAACACUAACUGGAGGACCGAACCGACUAAUGUUGAAAAAUUAGCGGAUGACUUGUGGCUGGGGGUGAAAGGCCAAUCAAACCGGGAGAUAGCUGGUUCUCCCCGAAAGCUAUUUAGGUAGCGCCUCGUGAAUUCAUCUCCGGGGGUAGAGCACUGUUUCGGCAAGGGGGUCAUCCCGA
This 582-nucleotide ribosomal RNA is filed under the name Escherichia coli. Its description in RNAcentral is "partial 23S ribosomal RNA". It matches the Rfam family "Bacterial large subunit ribosomal RNA", at positions 348 to 934 of the family's 2925-position model. Lineage: Bacteria; Pseudomonadati; Pseudomonadota; Gammaproteobacteria; Enterobacterales; Enterobacteriaceae. The record is from RNAcentral.